AACGAACGCUGGCGGCAUGCCUAGCACAUGCAAGUCGAACGAGACCUUCGGGUCUAGUGGCGCACGGGUGCGUAACGCGUGGGAACCUGCCCUUAGGUUCGGAAUAACUCCCCGAAAGGGGUGCUAAUACCGGAUAAUGUCUUAGGACCAAAGAUUUCUCGCCUUUGGAUGGGCCCGCGUUGGAUUAGCUAGUUGGUAGGGUAAAAGCCUACCAAGGCGACGAUCCAUAGCUGGUCUGAGAGGAUGAUCAGGCACACUGGGACUGAGACACGGCCCAGACUCCUACGGGACGCAGCAGUGUGGAAUAUUGGACGAUGGGCGAAAGCCUGAUCCAGCAAUGCCGCGUGAGUGAUGAAGGCCUUAGGGUUGUAAAGCUCUUUUACCCGGGAUGAUAAUGACAGUACCGGGAGAAUAAGCUCCGGCUAACUCCGUG
This 433-nucleotide ribosomal RNA is filed under the name uncultured bacterium. RNAcentral describes it as "partial 16S ribosomal RNA". It matches the Rfam family "Bacterial small subunit ribosomal RNA", at positions 29 to 507 of the family's 1533-position model. The record is from RNAcentral.